This 433-nucleotide unclassified non-coding RNA is filed under the name Hevea brasiliensis (rubber tree). The record is from RNAcentral. Lineage: Eukaryota; Viridiplantae; Streptophyta; Magnoliopsida; Malpighiales; Euphorbiaceae.
UUCCAACGGCUGGUGUUCGUUACAAGGCUAUGAACGCCUUUUAAAUCCGACCGGACACGAUCCGCGACCACGUUCCGCAGAGCGUACUAGCGGCCGAGCGAACCAGUCCUAGAUCCCCUUGUUUCCCGAUCUCACAAGUUUCAGACCGGCUCUCCUAGUCCGUAGGACUAAGAUCGCGGCCUUCAGUGAGGACUACCAGCAACCGACAGCACCUAAAAGAUGCGCACAGUCACGGCGUAUCCCCGAGUGGAUAGUUGCUAUCAGGUUUGGCCAUCGGCAAGUAAUCCACAUCCUUCAACAGCGCGGACACAAGUCACACAAGGACAGUGCCCGACGAACUGAGAAACCAAAUAACCAUUCAGUAAAAUCCCGGCUAUCCCAUCCGCGAGCCAGUACAUCCUGCGAGGCAGGCGCAUCUAUGGCUCGGUCCAGG